Molecule: ribosomal RNA, 1547 nt
Filed under: Bifidobacterium pseudocatenulatum
Lineage: Bacteria; Bacillati; Actinomycetota; Actinomycetes; Bifidobacteriales; Bifidobacteriaceae
Description: bacterial SSU rRNA
Rfam family: Bacterial small subunit ribosomal RNA
Source: RNAcentral
GCAGAGUUCUCGGAGUCACGAAGAGUUUGAUCCUGGCUCAGGAUGAACGCUGGCGGCGUGCUUAACACAUGCAAGUCGAACGGGAUCCAUCAGGCUUUGCUUGGUGGUGAGAGUGGCGAACGGGUGAGUAAUGCGUGACCGACCUGCCCCAUACACCGGAAUAGCUCCUGGAAACGGGUGGUAAUGCCGGAUGCUCCGACUCCUCGCAUGGGGUGUCGGGAAAGAUUUCAUCGGUAUGGGAUGGGGUCGCGUCCUAUCAGGUAGUCGGCGGGGUAACGGCCCACCGAGCCUACGACGGGUAGCCGGCCUGAGAGGGCGACCGGCCACAUUGGGACUGAGAUACGGCCCAGACUCCUACGGGAGGCAGCAGUGGGGAAUAUUGCACAAUGGGCGCAAGCCUGAUGCAGCGACGCCGCGUGCGGGAUGACGGCCUUCGGGUUGUAAACCGCUUUUGAUCGGGAGCAAGCCUUCGGGUGAGUGUACCUUUCGAAUAAGCACCGGCUAACUACGUGCCAGCAGCCGCGGUAAUACGUAGGGUGCAAGCGUUAUCCGGAAUUAUUGGGCGUAAAGGGCUCGUAGGCGGUUCGUCGCGUCCGGUGUGAAAGUCCAUCGCUUAACGGUGGAUCUGCGCCGGGUACGGGCGGGCUGGAGUGCGGUAGGGGAGACUGGAAUUCCCGGUGUAACGGUGGAAUGUGUAGAUAUCGGGAAGAACACCAAUGGCGAAGGCAGGUCUCUGGGCCGUUACUGACGCUGAGGAGCGAAAGCGUGGGGAGCGAACAGGAUUAGAUACCCUGGUAGUCCACGCCGUAAACGGUGGAUGCUGGAUGUGGGGCCCGUUCCACGGGUUCCGUGUCGGAGCUAACGCGUUAAGCAUCCCGCCUGGGGAGUACGGCCGCAAGGCUAAAACUCAAAGAAAUUGACGGGGGCCCGCACAAGCGGCGGAGCAUGCGGAUUAAUUCGAUGCAACGCGAAGAACCUUACCUGGGCUUGACAUGUUCCCGACAGCCGUAGAGAUAUGGCCUCCCUUCGGGGCGGGUUCACAGGUGGUGCAUGGUCGUCGUCAGCUCGUGUCGUGAGAUGUUGGGUUAAGUCCCGCAACGAGCGCAACCCUCGCCCUGUGUUGCCAGCACGUCAUGGUGGGAACUCACGGGGGACCGCCGGGGUCAACUCGGAGGAAGGUGGGGAUGACGUCAGAUCAUCAUGCCCCUUACGUCCAGGGCUUCACGCAUGCUACAAUGGCCGGUACAACGGGAUGCGACACGGCGACGUGGAGCGGAUCCCUGAAAACCGGUCUCAGUUCGGAUUGGAGUCUGCAACCCGACUCCAUGAAGGCGGAGUCGCUAGUAAUCGCGGAUCAGCAACGCCGCGGUGAAUGCGUUCCCGGGCCUUGUACACACCGCCCGUCAAGUCAUGAAAGUGGGUAGCACCCGAAGCCGGUGGCCUAACCCUUUGUGGAUGGAGCCGUCUAAGGUGAGACUCGUGAUUGGGACUAAGUCGUAACAAGGUAGCCGUAGUCCUGUGUGAAGUGAUCCGCUAAUCGUCGACCU